Molecule: ribosomal RNA, 484 nt
Filed under: uncultured bacterium
Lineage: Bacteria
Description: partial 16S ribosomal RNA
Rfam family: Bacterial small subunit ribosomal RNA
Source: RNAcentral
AUUGAACGCUGGCGGCAGGCCUAACACAUGCAAGUCGAGCGGAUGAAGGGAGCUUGCUCCUGGAUUCAGCGGCGGACGGGUGAGUAAUGCCUAGGAAUCUGCCUGGUAGUGGGGGAUAACGUCCGGAAACGGGCGCUAAUACCGCAUACGUCCUGAGUGAGAAAGUGGGGGAUCUUCGGACCUCACGCUAUCAGAUGAGCCUAGGUCGGAUUAGCUAGUUGGUGGGGUAAAGGCCUACCAAGGCGACGAUCCGUAACUGGUCUGAGAGGAUGAUCAGUCACACUGGAACUGGGACACGGUCCAGACUCCUACGGGAGGCAGCAGUGGGGAAUAUUGGACAGUGGGCGAAAGCCUGAUCCAGCCAUGCCGCGUGUGUGAAGAAGGUCUUCGGAUUGUAAAGCACUUUAAGUUGGGAGGAAGGGCAGUAAGUUAAUACCUUGCUGUUUUGACGUUACCAACAGAAUAAGCACCGGCUAACUUCGUG